UGUUUUUUGUUUGGCCAGGGCUAGGGGGUGGGGUUGUAAUAUAUAUUGUCCAUUAUAUAGUAUUUUGUUUGAAAAAGGUCUGUUGAUUAAAUUUAGUUACAAAUCACUAUUCUUUUAACUAAUAACCUAGUACUUUGGUUCCCAAAUUCUGGUGCAUGGUGAAAUAAAGACAAUGUAGAGAAUGUCUCGUAAAAUGACAUUUGUUCUUUUGUGGAAUUCUUAAAUAGAUCUAUUUUUAAAUCUAUUUGUGCAUGAAUGUUUUUAAAAGUCCUGUCAUUAUUGCCUAUAGGAAUAUUUACUUUAAUAUCCUUGUUUAAAUGUUGACAAGCUUUUCUCAGUUCCCUAGUUUUACUUUUGAAAUUUAAUAGUUAAGAAAUAU
This 379-nucleotide long non-coding RNA is filed under the name Bos taurus (domestic cattle). RNAcentral's name for it is "long non-coding RNA NONBTAT005943". Lineage: Eukaryota; Metazoa; Chordata; Mammalia; Artiodactyla; Bovidae. The record is from RNAcentral.